AUUGAACGCUGGCGGCAGGCCUAACACAUGCAAGUCGAGCGGUAGAGAGGUGCUUGCAUCUCUUGAGAGCGGCGGACGGGUGAGUAAUGCCUAGGAAUCUGCCUGGUGGUGGGGGAUAACGUUCGGAAACGGACGCUAAUACCGCAUACGAUCUACGGAUGAAAGCGGGGGAUCGCAAGACCUCGCGCGAUUGGAGCGGCUGAUAUCAGAUUAGGUAGUUGGUGAGGUAAAGGCUCACCAAGCCGACGAUCUGUAGCUGGUCUGAGAGGACGACCAGCCACACUGGGACUGAGACACGGCCCAGACUCCUACGGGAGGCAGCAGUGGGGAAUUUUGGACAAUGGGCGCAAGCCUGAUCCAGCAAUGCCGCGUGCAGGAUGAAGGCCUCGGUUGUAACUAGCUUUGUACGGUACGAACGGUAGAGCUCUAAUACAGUUGUCUAAUGACGGUA
RNAcentral lists this ribosomal RNA (451 nucleotides) under uncultured bacterium. RNAcentral's name for it is "bacterial SSU rRNA". It matches the Rfam family "Bacterial small subunit ribosomal RNA", at positions 30 to 477 of the family's 1533-position model. The record is from RNAcentral.